UACGUAGGGACCGAGCGUUGUCCGGAAUCAUUGGGCGUAAAGAGCGUGUAGGCGGCUUGCUAAGUCUUGCGUGAAAUCUCGGGGCUCAACCCCGAGCGGUCGUGGGAAACUGGCAGGCUAGAGUGCGGGAGAGGAGAAUGGAAUUCCUGGUGUAGCGGUGAAAUGCGCAGAUAUCAGGAAGAACACCCGUGGCGAAGGCGGUUCUCUGGAACGCAACUGACGCUGGGACGCGAAAGCGUGGGGAGCAAACAGG
This 253-nucleotide ribosomal RNA is filed under the name uncultured bacterium. Its description in RNAcentral is "partial 16S ribosomal RNA". It matches the Rfam family "Bacterial small subunit ribosomal RNA", at positions 524 to 776 of the family's 1533-position model. The record is from RNAcentral.